GACGAACGCUGGCGGCGCGCCUAACACAUGCAAGUCGAACGAGCGAGAGAGAGCUUGCUUUCUUGAGCGAGUGGCGAACGGGUGAGUAACGCGUGAGGAACCUGCCUCAAAGAGGGGGACAACAGUUGGAAACGACUGCUAAUACCGCAUAAGCCCACGGUGCCGCAUGGCACAGAGGGAAAAGGAGCAAUCCGCUUUGAGAUGGCCUCGCGUCCGAUUAGCUCGUUGGUGAGGUAACGGCCCACCAAGGCGACGAUCGGUAGCCGGACUGAGAGGUUGAACGGUCACAUUGGGACUGAGACACGGCCCAGACUCCUACGGGAGGCAGCAGUGGGGAAUAUUGCACAAUGGGGGAAACCCUGAUGCAGCGACGCCGCGUGGAGGAAGAAGGUCUUCGGAUUGUAAACUCCUGUUGUUGGGGAAGAUAAUGACGGUACCCAACAAGGAAGUGACGGCUAACUACGUG
RNAcentral lists this ribosomal RNA (466 nucleotides) under uncultured bacterium. Its description in RNAcentral is "partial 16S ribosomal RNA". It matches the Rfam family "Bacterial small subunit ribosomal RNA", at positions 28 to 507 of the family's 1533-position model. The record is from RNAcentral.